UUUUCGUCACCUCAGAAAACGCCGCACUCACUGUCUGGCUACUUCCCUUCCCUGUUCACCAAGCCCCUCACGCACGCCAGCAUGCUUUCUGUCUCCAUGGAUUUACCUGUCCUGGACAUUUCUCAUAAAUGGAGCCACGUCAUAAACGACCCUUUGUGACUGGCUCCCUUCACUUAGCGCACAGUUUUCAAGGCUCAUCCGUGUCCUGGCGCAGCAGGGCGUCAUUGCUGUUUAUGACUGAAUGAUACUCAGCAGCACAUCUCUUCCACAUUUUGUAUUUACUCAUCUGUUGAUGGACACUUGAGCUGUUGCCAUCUGUGAGCUAAAGUAAGUGGUGCUGCUGUGAACGCAGUGUUUGGUGUGUGUCUGGAUGGGUGUGUGUUUGGUUGAGGGUUUAUAAUUAUUUGGGGCGUAUACCUAGGAGUGGAAUUUCCAGAUCACAGGGUAAUUCUAUGCUUAAUAUAUCGAGCCCACCAUAUUACCUUCCAUAGUGGGUGAACCACUUUACAUUCCCACCAGUUAUGGAUAAUAGAUAGAAUGUUUCCACGUCCUCACCAAUACAUGUUAUGUUUCUUUAAAAAUAUUAUUAUGACCGUAGCCAACGUUGUGGGUAUGAACUGAUAUCUUAUUGUGGUUUUUACUUGCAUUUCCCUAAUGGCUAGUGAUGCAGAACGUCAUUUCAGUGCUUCUUGGCCACUGUAUACUUUCUUUGAAGAAAUACCUACUCAGGUCCUUUUCCAAUUUGUAGACUGAUUAUCUCUUUUUGGUGUUGAGUUGCAAAAAUUCUUUAUAUAUUCUAGAUAGUAGACUUGUAUCAGGUAUAUGACUUACAAAUAUUUUCUCCCAUAUUGUAGGUUGUUUUUUCACAUUCUGGUGCACAAAAGUUUUUUGGUUUGUUAUUGUUUUUCUGGGUUUUUUGAGAUGGGGUCUCACUAUGGUCCUCACUAUGGUCUUGGACUACUGGACUCAAGUGAUCCUCCUUUCUGAGCUUCCCAAAUAGCUGGAACUACAGGAAUGCAUCACUGUGCCCAGCAAAAGUUUUUAAUUUUGGUAAGUCCAAUAUCUUUUUUCUUUUGUUGCUCAAAUCUGUUGGUGUCAUAUCAAAGAAUCCAUUGCCAAAUCCAGGUUCAUGAUGUUUUAAACCAGUGUUUUUUUCUAAAAGAUUUGCAUGGUAGGGGUCCAACUUCACUCUGUUUGCCUGUGAAUAUCCACUUGUCCCAGCACUGUUUGUUGAGGGGAUUCUUCUUUCCCCCAUUGAAAGGUCUUGGCAUCUUUGUUGAAAAUCAAUUAGUACAGGUGUAUGCAUUUAUUUCUGGUUUAUCUUAGUUCAACUCUAUUCCUUUGGUCUAUAUAUCUUUUAUGAGCACCACAAUAUCUUGAUUACUGUUAGUUUGUCAUUGGCUUCAAAAUUGCAAAGUGUGAAUCCUCCAACUUCAUUUUUCUGUUUCAAUAUUAUUUUGGUGGAUUAAUAUUCAACUCGUGUGUGUAAGUUUGCCUGUAUGUUACUGUGUUACUGGGGAUUGAACCAGGGCUUCAUGCAUGCUGGGCAAACACUCUACCACUGAGCUACACCCCUCGCCCUUUUUAUUGUUUAUUUUGAGACAGGGUCUUACUAAGUUGUCCAGGCUGGCCUCAAACUUGUGAUCCUCCUGUGUCAGCUUCCUGCAUGCACCACUGUGCCCAACUCAUUCAUUUUUUUUUUUAAUUCAAAAAAGUGUUUCUGUAAUUGUUGAUAUUCACCCAAGCCAAGGCAGAAGGUAUCUGCAAAAGGAUUCUUACAGGAAGAACCUAGAGAUCCGGAUUUGCUGGAUUUGCCACCAACUCUGUAGGUGUCCUUUGCAACCCACAUCCUCUCUCUGGGCCUCACUUUACUCUUCUGCCAAAUAGAGAAGAGGGAGCUCAAAUUUACGUUUAUGCUUGGAGUGGGACCUGAAACAUUUUAGUGAGCUCCCCUGUAAAAAUGCUUAGAAUGCCCAGCCUGAGGGUCCAGGCCACAGAGACGUGGCUGCCAGAGUUCCCCUCCCACAAGCCCCACACCUGGAGCUGCCUGGCUUCAGUGAAUCCCCCCGGUCAUCAGUAAAGGUGUUGUUCUAGCAAGAACUCAAUCGGCAGAGGGACGAGAAGUCUGGGCCUGGAGAAAUUCGGACAUUGGGUCAGCAGUAGUGUGUCCUCUGUCUGUCAUUGAUUUCUGCUUGACAUUUUCCAGCACUUGACAAAUGGAUUAAGAGCAGAGUCUCAUAUAUUGUGGGUACCCUGGGUGAUGCAAAGACUAAUUAGCUAUGCCCCCUGCCUUCUGGUAAUCAGUUUCACAUUUGAAUAAUAAUCAGGGGGAAUUUUAAUCAUCUUGAAAGUUAUUAUUUUUUUCAUUGUUUUGGGUAUUACUUUCAAUUUUUUUUUUUUUAAAUCACUACUGCACAUAUAAAUAGCCUUUCAGAAAAAGCAGAGCCCUGAACACAGAAGAUCAGCUACUUGCCUAGCUGGAUGCCACCUACCAUUCCAAACAACUUAGUGCAGUCUGUGUUGGUUGAACUGCAGUCAAGAUGCGUUGGUACCGUCUUAGCUUUCUUUACCUGACGGGCUUUCAUAGAACACACCGUCCUACGGGGAUGGCACCCACAUUCUAGACCAUGAGCUAGAACGUCUCCACCUCAAGUCUCCACCUGACUCUUGCCCCCAUUUCUACGCUGUCCUCCAGCUGAUGGGCUAAUGCUGGAGUGUGGGCAGGUCCUCUGCCACUGCUGCCAGAGAUGGUGGUAGUGAGAACAAGCGGGGGGUAUGGUCAGGUGAUGGAUGGCACUUGGCAGGGGACAGAGACACAAGAAGUAUCAAGAAUGACUCCCAGAUUUCUGGCCUGCAACACGGCUUAUUUGGUCCUAGUCAAUGAGCUCAGAAGCACAAAGUGGACCAGGUUUGGGUUGAAGAACAGGGCACCACGUUGUUCCACGGUCCCUAUAGAGUUGGGUACCAUGGGAACCCCAGAGAAGCUCAUGUGCUCAGUCUUAGAAAAGUCAUGCCCGAGGUGACUUUUCAGCUUCCAGAUGACGUCAGUAAGGAGACAGAGGGAGCCCAAAGCAGGGCAGGCCUGACCCAAGAAGCCCAGAGAGGCCGCUGGUGCUGGGGAGGGGGCCUCUGCUGCCAGGGUUUCUUCCAGAGACCCCGGAGAGGAGGGAAGGCCGGCCGAAGUGCUCCCCAGGAAGGCGGCUGAGCUGGGAGGGCUGGGGAAGGGCAGGGCGGCAGGAAUAAUUACCUGAGCUGGCAGCCAGCCCCAGCUGAGUGUGGCCCCAGGGAGCCGAGCGCAGAAAGAGCCGCGUCUUUAGUGCCGCAGGUGUUGGAGUAGAAAAUUUUCCAUGAAGAGGGGGCUGUUCCACAAGAUUAAAAUAGCCACUUGGGCCCUCCUGGCAAGCGCAGCGUCUCUCCACACCUCCAGCGUGUUCUUCAAGUGGAGGCUGUUCCUGUUCCGAGGAGGGAACCGGCAAAAAGAAUUCCUUCUCUUCUCACAUUUGCUAAUAAGGAAGGAGAGGGACAAAGGGCCCCAGGGGCAGCCGGGGAGGCAGGGCGUGGUGUUCUGCUGAAGACCUGGAGGGAGGCUGAGGAGGGGAACACCUGGGGUGCGGAGCCCAGGGUGCAGCGGGGAGCGCUGGAAAUGGAGUCGGGGCCUGGAGCCCUCCGGCUGAGUCCCCGUGCUGUCCCGUCCAGGCCCAGAGUUUUAGGGGUGAACUGGACAGAGCAAUGUGCUGGGAGGGAAGCUGGAGACUCCUCUGUAGUAAGAAGACAAAUUUCUCCCCCUGGGGAAUUGGAGGCCUUGUCCCUUCCAGGAAGAAGCCAGGACACAUGUCCCACUGCCUCUUACACUCCCCUCUUCCUGUCUGAGGGGCUGGGCUGGCUGGCAGCUUGGCCUCCCCUCUGUGCCAGGGUGGCUGGAGGACAGAGUAAGCCCUGCCUGCCACGCAGGUGGCACAUGAACUUCAGGACACGUUCAUGAGGAGAUGGUGACGUCUCUGGCCCUCAUUCAGCCAAGGUCUCCGGAGUUCUCAAACGUCCUCGUCCCCACCCCUUUCUUAGUUGCACUGGGUUUUCUUGGCUUCUUCAGCGGCACCAGGUAUUGCAUACCCCUCCUCCCUCUUUGCCACGGCAGGUCCCCUCAGCCGCUGGGAGUGAGUGUGGACAGCCACCCACUCCCCAGAGGCAGAAUGUGCAGGGACCCCUUGGUCUCUUCCGGCUGUUGCUAUUGGGACAUUACUAUUGCGGGGAAGAAGCUAACCGUGGCCUGUCUCUGCUUACCUAACUUUUUACAAAAUGCCCUCUGCCCAUGUUGGCAAGCGGCUCACCAUCAUGAAAGAUGCUGGGGACCCACCCCUGGUGAAAGCCACUCUCCCAGAUAGUCCCCUGAUAGGGGCAUCUGAGAGUCCUCCCCACUGUCUCAGCCCUCACUGACCCCCUCUCUGAACAACACUUCCCACAUAGGUCUUCUCCAAGGUGCGCAUUCCUGCAUCAGACUCCCCUGGGAAGCCUUUUGGGAAAGCAGAUUCCUGAGCCCAUUUUCCAUUCUGAAAAGUAUCUGCGCUUGCAGUGUCUCCCAGGGGAAUCUGGGGGAAUCUCUCCAGCUGUGUUAACUUCUUUAUACCCCACAGUUUGACACACAGUCGUCUCCACCACACAUUGCCUCCUGUCCCAGUGGGCAGAACAAUGGUGUUCAUGAUUCCUCACAUGUGGCAGGGCUCAGUCAGUGACUGUGAGGACGGCUACUAGCUGGUGUGUGUGUGUGUGUGUGUGUGUGUGUGUGUGUGUGUGAGAGAGAGAGAGAGAGAGAGAGAGAGAGAGGGGAUAGAUAAGAUAGGAUAAGAUAAUACAAGAAAGUAGGGUUAGUAGAACCCCAUUACAGUAGCUUUGCCUGCAGGUCUGGUGCUACCUCAUGGAACUGAAGUGUGGGAUGUAGAGAAAGUUCUUAGCAGACAGGAUCCUGGAUCUACAAAGCUGUUAAGAGCAAAGGCAGGAGGAGGACUCACGUCCAAGGGUAACAGGGUUCAGAUACACUACUUACUGACCAUAUGUGUUUGGGCAAAUUGCUUGAUCUUCAGGCCUGGCUUAACAGCACUUCCUCCCAGGAAGCAGUGGAGGUUGACUUGGAGGCUACAAGAGGCCUAAGUAUCUGUAAGCCUACUGUGUGCCCCAGGCUCGGCUUCCCUCCGUACCCUCCUCCUCCUCUCUCGCAGACUGGUUCCCGCUCCUGCCUGUAUAGAUUCAACCUAUAGCUACUUUACAUCUCCUCAGAGGUAGACACCCAAAACGGAGGUGCCACUCCCUUGGCCCGAGUCUCCAGAGACUCUGAGGGCCUUUCAGGGUCCUCCCCACCCAAAUCAUCCCUGGUUGAGAAUGAGGGGUGUAGUGUGCGAACAGGAUCCAGCUCCAUCACCUCAGCCCCAUCAGGAAGAGAGUUCUCAGAGAGGAGAGUGGAGGGUGGCCAGGGCUGGGUACACACCCCACAGGCCUCUGCUGUGACCCUCCUAAGCCUCCUCCUGGGUCCUCACCCAGGCUGCUGGUGUCUCCAGAGCCUUCUCUCAUCUUGCUGGGGGGCUUGAGUUCUUCAGCCUCAGGUCUGCCUGCCUCCCCCUGAAUCUGCCCCACUUGUACCCUCCGCUGGGCCUUGAUGCCUAAGCCCUGUGUCUAAAGGGCUUACAGUUAGUUGGCGGAAUCAAACACACACACACGCACACACACACACAAGUUGAAGUGUCCGGUGCUCCCCCACCAGCUGCAGCUCCCAGGGAGGAGGAGUCCGGAGGAGGAGGGCCCCACGUGGGCUGUGAGGCUCGGGAAAGCUUCCUGGAGGAGGAGGAACUAGGUCAGGGGCUCGAGGCUGUGCGAGGCUGUGCGGGUUGGGGGGACAUCCUGGCAGGCAUGGGAGGAAUGGGGAAGGCCUGCUGAGAAGCUGCCUGGCAGGGACACGGUCAGGAAGGAGUCAGAGCACAACAGGUGCUGCCAUCACAGGGGGCCUCCUCCUGGGGCUGGGGCUCCAGCAAGCCCUGGCCUCCCUGCUCAGGCGAGCUGCUGAAGGGCCUCCCCAGGACCUGACUGCUCAUUGAUCGGCCUGUGAAAGGCCACUUGGUGGGCUGGUUGCCGAGAGACGGCCCGAGGCCGGGGGCCAGGAUUAGUGAGUGGCCUGUUUGCUCUCCUUGCUGAGAGGAAGGAGGACUUUGGUCUCAGCUUAUCAAACUGCCCCAGGUUUGAAAGCCCAGGAAUGCAACCUUGGGCAAAUGGGCAGGUUCACAGGACACCCAUUAAUCAAACAGCUCCCUUCCCUCCAGCCUAACAACUUCUCUCUCUCUCUCUCUCUCUCUCUCUCUCUCUCUCUCUCUCUCUCUCUCUCUCUCUCUCUUAUGUGGUCUUUUGGAGCUCCCAGAAGAGAGGGGACAUAUAUUUCCUCAAGCCCAGCUGACCACCACCCCAGGCCCGGGAGGAACUACGCAGGAGAGCAGGCCAGCUCAGAUGACUUUCCCUAAUGGGCCCAUGAGGUCCUGUAGAGGCUUCCCUAAGGUGGACAGAGCCGUCAGGCCACCCCACCUGCCCUGUGCCCCACACAACUAGCAACACAUCAUCCCCUCAAGAUGGAAAGAAAAAUGUCCUCACCAAUAACUUCUAGAGAAAGCUUUCUUUAAAAUAUACAAUCCUUUCCAACUCCGUGGACUGCACAAGGGCAGUCCUUGUCACUGCUAGCACACACAGUCACGUGUCACAUGCCAAACGCACAGUUACGUGUCAGCCCAGAGGCCAAAGAUCCAGACUCCUCACCAGUGCUUGGCUCUAAGGGGAAAAGGAUGAGUCUUAGCAUGUCUCCCUGCCAACGAGAACAAGUUCAGAGGAAUAAGUUAAUAAUAAUAAUAAACAUAAACUGGGUCUUAAUAGUAGGUGUGACACCAACUACAAGUUCCACCUGGGGGCACAUAGUUUUCUGGUAUCGGGGUGGAGAAGGUUCCUGGCCUUCAGGAGAUCAUGUGGCUCUCAUUUGAGCCAACUGGCCAUGGCUGCUGCCUGGGUAGUGUCUACCUGCUGGCAGGAAGCUAGACGGGCAGGGGAAGAGAGAGUACCAAAUGCUCUGCUCUGCUCAGACUUCACCCAGAGUGUUGCCUUCCGUCCUGGGCACCACGCCUGAACUUUCCACCCGAUGCCAGCCUAGUCACAGAGGGUGAGCCCACCAACUGGGAAGGGCUUUCAAGCCAGGUCGGUGAGAUGUCUGGUCUGAGCGGACUUAGGAGUCACACCCUCUGGUCCAGAGAAGACAGAGGAAGUCCUCAGCCCUACCUACUGCCCUGCACCCCUGUGCCCUCUGCCUCAAUUUCGGCAUCCACCGCCUUCCCUGGGCAACCACAGAGGUGUCUCCAGAACUUUCUGGCCAAGCCCCUGACAGUUCCUGAAGUCCCUGCUCCUUCUCGUUGGCAGGUAGACAUGCUAACACUCAUAGGAUUUUGCACUUUCCCCUGGAAACUCUUCAGAUCUCUGCCACCCCUGCCCACCUCCUGCCAUAGCCCCAGAAUGAGACAGUGAGACCCGCAGGCCCUGCACAUCUUGUAGCAGUCUGCAACCCUCACAUCCCACAUUACCCACAGGGCAGGGUACCACACAGCACCCAGCCUCCCCACUUCCUGUCCCCUUCAUCUGGAUCUCCUUCAGCCUCCAGCUGCCAUCUGAAUGACCCCCUGCCCAUGACUCACUGUCCCCUCCCUGGGCCCAGCACCCUGCCUGAGGCCUGCUGCUGUUUUCCCCAUUAGCCUCCUUCUCUAGGCUAUCUGCUACUCACUGGGGUCCCCCCACAUCUGUCCCCAGCUCCUGGCACUAGCCUGGCACCCAUUGGUAUUUGUUGAAUGUACAGAUGCCAGCUGUUUUCAAAGGUGUGAAAGACUGUCAUGUGGAAUGAGGGUUAGUCCUGCCCUAAUCCUCUGAGUGACUCAGAGCUGGCAUUGGAAGCCAGAGACAGGAGUCAGGUGAGGUCCCUGGAGAGCAGGCCACUCCUGGAGGUGGCAAGUUCCCUGCACCUGAAUGGAAUAGGAAGACCCAUGGAAGAGGGCGGCAGCAGAGGGGUUCUCUUGGUGAUCUGACCUCCGUGGGCCGUCCAGCUCUAGGAGGCUAUGGGCUGGCUUCACUUUUGGACCCCCUCCCAUGAGCACAGCAGUCAUACUGCAGUCAGGGCUGCAGGGCUGGGCCUUGGAGUGCCAAGAGGCAGGACGUAUCCCAGCAGGGCUGACCCUAGCAAAGCAGGCCCGCUCUGUGCCUAUGGAAGACAAGGUGGGUGGAGUCUGACUGUCAGCCUGCGGUCCUCAGAGAGAGCUGGGCCUUCUCUAUCUGUACCCAGCAGGGUUGGCACACUCCUCACACCCUCCUGCUUGAGGGCUGAGCAUUGUGUUUCCCACCAAAGGACACUGGCCCAGAAGGCCAGGAGCCCAGCACUGAGAUGGGGACUUGGCAUCAGAGCUAACCCAGGUGCAGCGGGGAGGAGAGGUGACCUCUGCAGCCAGUGUGGCUCCUCGGCCUCAGCAAGGCCGUCCUCCCCACCAGCAAGGUCACAGUUAUCUGCCCCAGAGCGAGUGCUCUUGUAGGGCCUGGAUGCCCUCCAAACAUGUGGAGGGAGUUUCAACCUAAUCCAGGACUUUUAAAAGGUCUCCCACGCCUGACAUUUUCCAAGUGUUGUAAGCUCCAGGCAAGGACAAGAAAGAAAAGCACUUGGAAGUACUUCUACGGCUGCAGCUGCCAGUGUCACCUCAGAGUGUGUCAACGUGCAUGAAUCAGUGCGUGUGUCAGUGUAAGAAUGUGUCGGUGUGUACGUGUAUGCAUGCAUGUGUCCAUGUGUGUCUCCUGUGUGUGUGCAUCCCUGUGUAUGUCACUUACAUGUCAGUGUGAUGUCUGCGUGUGCCUCUGUGUGUCUGUGCAUGUGUGUGCAUGUGUGUGCAUAUUGGGAAGGGUGUGGAGAAGUCAUUUGCUUUGAUUGUGAGACCGAAAGAAGCACUUGGUUCAGAAUCUCUCUCCCAGGCUGGAAGGACAGCGGAAGAUGGUCCCGAACCUCGCUCUCUAACUGGUUGUUGGAUGUGGCCACCUGCAGUGAGGCCCCUUUGAAGUCUCUAUUCGCAAACCUUCUUCAUAUUCCACAGAAACUUUGCCCGCUUCCCUGGUUUUGCCAAAACUGUGGUCAUUUUCCUGCUUUGAGAGUUUAAUGUUUAUAGUCACAGGAAAGGGUGGGGAUUUUCAGUCAGCAGGUCCUGAAUCCCAGUUCCCCGGGGCCAGGUGUGAGACUCAGGUGAGCUCAUCUCAGUAAGCCUGUCUCCCGAGGCGGUGAUGUGCAGCGCUACCACGUGGGGCUGGACAAACACUGGGAGCUUUCUUGCAUGUUUUCACAGGUUUCCCCAUUUUGCAAAUCUGCUUUUCCAAUGUAUGAUUCAAAAACAAAACAAAAUAAAGCACAAAAAUUAUAUUCCCAGUCUCCUUUCCUGCAGGAUACAGGCACAUGUCUGACAUUGCCCCUGAGUGAUGACCCCAUAAGAGGUGGGAGCAGGCUGAGGGGGCAGGCUGAGGGGACAACCGUGGGCUGGCUGAGCAGCAGCAGAGGCAGGUGGGCUCAGACACAGCAGAGUUCCAACCCCCAGUCUCGUGGGACUCCUGACUGUUCCUACAAUGUCAUCCUGCACCCUGCCCGGUGGUGGGCUUGGCACUCUCUCACAUCCUUAGAUAAAUUCUUUCCUGCUUUAACUACCAGCUAAUGAAGAUUCUGCCCUCUGUAACUGAGAGCCCCCUAGUCCCAGAGAACCCACAUAGGUCGGCAUUUGGAGACAGGGACAGUUGUGAUUACAAAGGGUACAUGAAAUUAGAUCCACGAUUGUCUUGGAUGGUCCCUGAAUUUCCCGGGCUUCUCCUUUCCUCGUGUUGGCAAUCUUGCCUGAUGGAUGGAGCCCUGGCUCUCAGGCAGCUGAUGCAGGAUGGAGACCUGCCUGUCUCAUCUUCUCUCAGUGGGAAGAGAGUGGAGAAGUGGUGUUUUAGGGAGGCCAGCCCAAGGGCCCCCUUGUCUCUCUUUAAGAUCUCCCUUCAUAGCUAGCAAGUCCCCUACCCUGGGCCAGAGAUUGGGCUAGGCAGUUUAGGGGCUGCAAAAUAAAAGUUAGAACCCCAAUAUCUAGCCCUAAGGAGGUUGGUCUGACGGAGAGGCACCUCGACUGGUGAGAGAGAAGAAUGACCGAAAAAGUGGGCGUGAGGAGGAGGUGGCUUUGGCUGGGGUGGCCAGAGAGGCCUUCCCAAAGGGAUCCCAGCAGGGCCUGACCCUGGGUAGGCGAGAUUUGGGGGAAUGAAGAAUGCCGGGAAGGGAGCCCCAGGAAAACAAUGAGAACAAGUAAAGUGCCAGGUGGGAUCGGUGCCCCCCACUUUAUGGGGCAAAGAGAGAGAGCCCUCUGGAAUUGUCGGCUUCAGCCAGUUCCUGGGGCCCCGAGGCCUGGACGAGGAGCUUGGGUUUUAGUCCAGGAUGGAUAUAUGACUGGGUUCGACAGAGAGGACCUUGACCUCACCCCUCUGCCGCUCUCCUGACUUCCAGGGUCAGAAGCCUGGUGCCCGUGGGGAGGAGUAGCCCACUGCUUCAUGCCCUUCCUUCGUCUGGGCCACCAGAACUACAUUGGCAAAGGACACCCAAAACUGCCUGUUCCCCAAUACAAGGUUUUUAUCAAGUUUUUCAGGCUUUGUCUUGCUGGAGCUCCGGGGUUUAAUGCUAGAAUCUCUCCAUUCUUAAAACUCUCUCCGUGGCUUCUGCCCACUUCCCAGGAGGAGCUCAGACGAGCGGGCUCAUCCUCUGCCGAGUGUGACCUUAAGGGCCUCAGUUAGUGCAGCAAGGAGACUUAACACGGGACUCCGGACAUCGUAAGGUGGACAUUCCCAAGAAUCAAGUCAGCUUCCUGAUCGCCCACCUCCGACGUCUCCUCCCAGACUCUUCCCUCUCUGUGUUAAUGGCCACUAGCAUCCUCUCGUGAUCCAGGCCAGACACCUGGCAGGGAUCCUGUCCUCCCUGCCUCAGCCCCACACCCUGAGAGUCAUGGUCCCACAGCUCCACCUUGUCCCUCUCUGCCACUGCCCCCUCACGUUGCCCCGGCCCUCGCCAAGGCCCAGCACCCCCAGCUCUGCCAUGACCUCCUACCUGGGCGCUCAACCUCCCGCCACCCCUCCCUGCCUGGGCCGACUCUGCUAGGGAGAGCUCCCUAACGCACAGACCUGAUGAGCCGGGCCCUUCUGGACCUCCCUCAGUGUGUCCCCACCACUCACCAAGGCAGGUGAGAGGAACAGUCCGCUCUUCCCCAUCUUCCACCUCACACACCUGCCGCACCAUCGAGACCUGCGUGUGGGGCCCUAAGAGCGUCCUGUUGUUUCUGCCCAGGGCCCUUAUCUGGGCCGUGGCCUCUGCCUGGAAUGUGCUUCCCACCCUCAUUGGCCUACAGGACACCCAUCCACCCUUCAAGAACACCACAGGGGAUAUCGCCUGACCCCAGACUGGACUAGGUGCGUCUGCUCUGUGGCCCUACGUACCCGAUACCCCAUAUAAAAACACCACUGUGGUCUGUACUAUCUGAUUACAGCCACGCCCUCCCACUAGCUGAGCUGAUUUGGGACCUGGGACUGUGUGUUAUACAACUUUUGGGGACCCUGUCCCCGAGUUUCAUGCCUGGCACAAGUGGGUACUGAAUACAAUUUUGUCAGUGGCAGCCAAACUAAACGGCAGGAUGCUUUGGAAGGAGGUUGGCCAGUGAGCAAGGGGACACACCAAGGUAUAGAUGACCAAGUUCAACCAAGAGAAUUCUCCUUCCCCUGAGGAAGUCUUCUGAAACCAGGAGGUAUCCCUGAUUCAGCAGGGACAGGCAGACAGGACCCCCACUCACACUCCCUGGGGAGCUUCUCGCCAAGGACCUCGUGCUCCAAGGAGGUGUCAAACCAGAGGUCAGAAUGGCCAGGUCAGUGGAGAAAGGCAGGAGGUGUGGGGGCCCUUGGGCGGCAGGACUUCCCACCUAUUAGAUAAACAGGGGACACAGCCACAAGCUGUGGGAGAGGAAACAGGCAGAUCCAGAGAGGGACACCAUGGGGCUACAGGCUCCUGUCUCCUCAGCAAGCUGGUGCUGAGGGAGCCUGAGGGCUGCAACACCCAGGUGCAGUGCGUGGUCCACAUCAGACUCUGGAGUCAGGACCUCUGGAGAGAUGUGAAUGCAAAGUGAUGUUAGGGUUUACCAAGAAGUUACUAGUCAUAAUUUGAUACUAUAAUGUUAUUUUAACUAUGUAGGAAAAUAAUCUUAUUUUUUAGAGACACAUUCAGAAAUAUUUAGGGAUAACAUAUUAUGGGACCUGUACCUCAGUUUAAAAUAUCUCAGUGUAAAAUAUAUAAUGAGUUUAAGGGCCAAUGCUACUGUGAGAAACUGUAAGUUAGACACACUGUGAAUUUACAGCAAUUAUCCUAGGAAAAUUUCAACGGUUGAGCUUGUGCUGAUGAUUGAACAGAUUCCCGUUGUGAUGUCUGUGUUCUGUGUUCAGGUCGAAUCGUCGAUAGCUUGUCAUAUGAAGAGCUGUCAGGUGUGAGUGAAGUCUGCAUGUCCAGUCCUGAUGGUUUCCAUGAUGAGGGAGACCUUGGCUGUCUGGGACCUCGUGUGCAGUUAAGGAGCGUCUUGAGAGUUAGCCAAGGAAGGGGUCCUCAUGCCUGAGAAGUGACGCAGCACUGAAUGAAGCAGGGCUUGGUGUGGCAAGGACCAAAGGUGCAGCGUGCCCGCUUCCUUGAAGGGCAACUCAGGAACAGAACCAGAAUCUGGGCUGGUUAGAAAUGCAAGAGUCCAAACCAGCCGCUAGAGCAGCUCAUGGGGAUGCGAAACGGGCUCCACACAGAAAUCUGGCUGCUGCCUGUCUGCUGUGGCCUCCCCUCCCCAGGGCCUACGACACUGUGCAGUUAGGAUCACAGUUGUAAAAACAACCCUGCGACCGUGCUGGUGUGCUGGAGCCAGGGUGUGCAAGUGUGCAAGCGUGUGUGCCAGGAUAUCUGGCCCACAGCCGAGCAGGGCUGGCGAAAACUGAGAGCUGACCGUCCAAGGCCCCUACCGUGAGGCAGAGAGGACCGGUGAGAGGCAGACCCACGCGGGAAUUGAUCCUUAGGGAAAAUGGCAUUAUAUAUCUCUCUGUGUGUGGAGGUACCACCACGUUCCUCUUUACUGUGUAUAAAAAAAGUCGUGUCUUUGUUCAAAUAGCAUUUUUAAGGUUUUUAUUGGUGCAUUACGAUUAUACAAAAUAGUGGGGUUCGUCGUUAUAUAUUCCUACAUGCACACAAUGAUAACACUAUAGUUUGCUCCACUUCUUUCCCCACUAACUCUUGUCCCUCCCUCUGGUCCCCUUCCUCUACUCUACUGGAUUCCCUUCUAUUUUCAUGAGAUCCCACAUACACAGUUUUCUCCCCCUUUUCUUCACUCUACCUUCCACAUAAGAGAGAAAACAUAUGGUCCUUGACUAUCUGUGUUUGGCUUGUUUCAUUUAACAUAAUGCUCUCAAGUUCCAUCUGUUUUCCUGUAAAUGUUAGUUUCAUUCUUCUUUAUGGCUGAAUGAAGCUCCAUUGUGUAUAUAGACCACAUUUUCUUUAUCUGUUCAUCCACUGAUGGACCCGUAGGCUGGUUCCCUAAUUUGGCUACUGUGAAUUUUGCUGUUAUAAGUAGUGGUGUGCAUGUAGUGCUUUAGUAUGUUGACUUAAGUUCUGUGGGAUAAAUAUGGAGGAGUUGUACAGACUGUCCCAUUUCAAGUCUUUUGAGGAAUCUCCAUAAGGAUUUCCAUAGUGGUUGUACUAAUUUACAAUCCCACCAAUAAAAGUGUUCCUUUCCCCCACAUCUUUUCCCACGUUUAUUAUUAUUUGUAUUCUUGCCAACUGCCAUUCUAACUGGGGUGAGAUAAAAUCUCAGUGAGUUUUGAUUUCCAUCUUCCUAAUUGCUACAGAUGUUGAUCAGCUUUUAAUAGAUUUGUUGGCCAUUUGCAUUUCUUCUUUUGAGAAGUGUCUGUUAGUUCAUUUGCCAUUUAUUGGUGGGGUUCUUUGUAGGGCUUUUUUGGGGUUAAGUUUUUGAGUUCUUUAUAUAUUCUGGGUAUUACUCCUUUGUCAGAGAACAGAUGGCAAAGGUUUUCUCCCAUUCUGUAGAUUCCACUUUCUCUUCUUGCUCUUGUUUCUUUUGCUGUUCAGAAGCUUUUUAACUUGAUGCCAUUCCACUUAUUAAUUCUUGGCAUUAUUUCCCAAGCUGUAGGAGCCCCAUUGAAGAAGACUGUACCUGUACCUAUAAGAUGAGUGUUGACCCUACAUUUUUUUCUAGCAGUUGCAAAAUUUUGGGUCUAAUUCCUAGGUCUUUGACCAUUUUGAAUUGGCUUUGGUGCAGGGUAAGACAUAGGACUCUUGUUAAAUUCUUCUACAUAUGAAGAACCAGCUGUCUCAGUGCCAUUUGGUGAAAAUGCUGUCUUUUCUCCAGUGUAUCCUUUUGGUACGUCUGUCAAGGAGGAAAUGAUGGUAUCUGUGAGGCUUUGUUUCUGUAUCUUCUAUUCUCUAACAUUGGUCUGUUUUUUUGUUUGUUUGUUUGUUUGUUUAUGCCAGUACCAUACAGGGGUUUUGUUUUGUUUUGUUUUUACUAUAGCUCUGUAGUAUCAUUGGAAGUCAGGAAUUGUGAUGAUUCUAGCAUUGUUUGUGUGGUUGGUUGGUUGGCUUUUUUGCCUUAAAAUUUCUUUGGCUAUUCUGGGAAUUUUACUCUUCCAAAUGAAUUUUAGGACUAUUUUUCCUAGUUCUAUGAAGAAUGUCAUCAUUAUUUUAAUGGGGAUUAAAUUGAAUCUAUAGACUGCUUUGGUAGUAUGGCCAUUUUAACAACAUUACUUCUGCCUGUCCAUGAACAUGGGAAGUCUUUCCAGCUUUUAGUGACUUCUUCCCUGUCUUUCUUCAAUGUUCAAUUUUUGCUGUAGAGGUCUUUCUCUUCCUCAAUUAGAUUUAUUUCUAGCUCUUUUUUGUUUAUUUAUUUUGAAUGCUAUUGUGAAUGGAAUUGUUUUCCUGAUUUCUUUUUUUGGCAAAUUUAUUAUUGGUGUGUAGGAAAGUUAUAAAUUUUUGUAUGUUGAUUUUGUAACCUGAUACUUUGCUGAAUUUGCUUAUUAGCUCUUCCAGUCUUCUGGUGGAACUUUUUGGAUCUUGCAAGUAUAAGAUCAUAUCAGUUGCAAAAGGCAAUAAUUUGAUUUUUUUCUUUUCUAUUUGUAUCCCUUUUAUUUCUUCCUCUUGCCUAAUUCCUCUGUCUAGAACUUCAAAUACUCUAUUGAAUAAGAGUGGUAAGAAUAGACAUCAUAUCUUGUUACUGACUCUAGAGAAAAUGCUUUCUGUUUCUCCCCAUUCACUAUGGUAUUGGUUUUGAACGUGUUGUACAUUGUCUACAUUAUGUUGAGGUAGCUUCCUUCUAUUUCUAGCUUCUUUAGUGUUUUUAUCAUGGAUGGAUGCUUUUGCCAAAGGCUUUCUCUGCAUCUAUUGAGAUGACCAUGUGAUUUUUUUUUUGCCUUAAUUCUAUUUAGGUGGCAAAUUAAAUUUAUUGAUUUGCGUAUAUUGAACUAUAAAUUUUUUAUUUCAGAAACUAUAUACCAGGGUUUAAAUUAUCAAACAUUGUGAAUAUUAUAAAGGUUUUAUUUUCAAAGAAUGUCAUUUAUCAAACUAUUAAUGCUGCAAAUGUCUCCAGAGCUAACAAAUACCACACAACUGGAGCUGAUUGUAUAGAAUAGACCAAACAAGCUUAUUUCCAGUGUAAACCAAAGCUUAAAAAAAAUGGGAGGGUGGGGCUGAGGGUGUAGCCCAGUGGUAGAACACUUGGCUAGUAUGUACAGGGCCCUGGGUUAGGUCCCCAGCACCACAAAAGAAAUUAAUUUCAUAUAUUUCGAAAAGCCAGCAAUGCUUGGGUCCAAAGGAAACCAGGGAAUGCAUGAAGAAAUAUUCCUCCUCAUCAUGAAAAAUCACUAAUGAUUAUUCAAGCCCUUAAUUAGAGUAUUUAGUUAACAUUCAAAAGAGCCCAAGAAAAGACAUAUUUGAAACCCAAUUUCCCGGUUCCCGGGAGGACAUAAUUAUAUUGCACAAAAUGGCUGUCAGGCUUCCCACUACUGGAAGGAAGGGGCAGUUCUGAGAAGCAAUAUGAGUGGGCUGGCACCUAUGUGUACCCCGCAAAGUCUGUCCCUUCUUCAUAGCAUCCUUUCAGAUAUCCCAAGUUCAGGGUCAGAUCUCCUGUGAAUCUCCCAAAAUUCUCCAUUCAUUUGUCACCCAACCUGGCUGGCUGUCCCCUCCCUAUCCUGAUAAUUAUCCAACAGAAAUAUCACUCAGGGAAGGGUGGCAAUGGAGGCUUUAUGUGGUCACUUAGCAAAUUUAGAGUUUUUCAACAUGAGGACUAUUUUCCUGUAGCCCCAGCUGGGGACAGGCGCUAGUCUCUAGAUGUCCGUAUCACCAGGGAACACCUCUCAAGUGACUGACAUGAGUCCUGGUAGAAAAGCAACAGUGAUGGGACAACAUGGACCGUUCAAAUGUCCACAGUGGAAGGGCUCCUGGAGAACAAUUUGUCCCAACCUUCUCUUACCAUCGGGAGGAAACAUGAGGGCCAGACACAGGAGAAGGUCAGCCAUGUAUGGAACGUAACUGAGAUGGAGCUAGGAGCUCUUCUGAUUCCCAGUCCUCUGGCUCCAAUCACAUCAGAGCCUUGACUUUUCACAAAACAAUCUGAAUCUAACAGUCAAUCUGGAUCCCCCGAGAUCCUUGUCCCUGCUGCACCUUCCUGGGACGAACAGCUUUUGUACGCCUGCUUCCUGUCUGUUAAAUGAAGAUAAUGAUGAUUUCCCAGGGUUGUGGCAAUGGUCUUAAAGGGAACAUUAGAUGUAUUCUCACACUGCACGUCAUCAAUGAGGAGUGAGUGGGUAUCAUCAACUCAUCAUCAUCAUCAUCGUCAUCUCUGUCAUUAAGAGACUCAAGGUCACAGAGCAACAGCUUCAUCAAUGUAUUAAACAACUGAGCACCUCCCAGACAAAUCUUGAGGGUUAAAGGCCUGUCUGUCUGCUCUCCUUCAGGGAUUCCAGUCAUGUAUAUCUGAGGCCACACAGUGUCUCACAAUGUCUCACGACUCACCCUUGUUCUGUUUGGUCUUGGGGAUUUUUUUUCUUUUUUGCAUCUCAUUUUGGAUGGCUUCUAUUGCUCUUUCUUCAAGUUCACUAAUAUUUUCUUCUGCAACAUCUAAACUGCUAUUACUCUUGUGCAGUCUAGUUUUUAUCUCAGAUAUUUCCUGUUGACUUAUUUUUCUGUCUUCUUGAACGUAUAGAAAAUACCUACAACAGUUCGAGUGUCCUUGUCUACCCAUUCUGCCAUCUGUUUGAUUUCUGGAUCUGUUCUUGUGGAUUGACAGUUUUCUUCUCUGUGGGCUCCGCCUCCCUGCUUCUCCACAUGGUCGGCGCAGCUAUUACAUGGCUGAAAGACACUGUGAAUUUUACCCUCUUGGGUGCUGGAUAUUUUUAUAUGUUUUUCAAAUGUUCUUGAGUUUUUAUUCUGGACAUUGGUUAAGUCAUUUGAAAGCAGUUUAUUUUUUCCAAGGCUUACAUGGGGUUCCUUAGUUGAGAUCAGAGCAAGCUCAAGUCCUGGCUAAUUAGACCUAUUGCUACUACGAAGACCAUAACUUUCUUAUACUCUAGGCGAUGUCCCAUGUCUUACAGGAUUUCCCCUCUGGCUGGUGGGAACAGAUAUUCCUGAUAUAUAUUCCUGAUCUGUGUGAGCUCUGAGGAUUAUUAUGCCCAGUGCUUCAAGGGAUUCUAGCAGUUUCUUUGUGCAAAUGCGGCUCUCGUUUUCUGUAGACACUGAGGAAGGAGAGCCUCUGCAGGUCUCCAGCCCUCUCUGCAGCUGUCCCUCAGACUCUGCCUUGGAAGCCUGAGAUUCCCAGGCCACCUCCCCCUCACAAGGGGUCCACCAGCCUCCACCUGGGCUGAGCCCCACUGCUAAAGCUGGGAGAUCCCCCACCACCCCAGCAAUAAGCAGGAGAGCACCCAUCUUUUCUCCUGGACACCUAUGCUGGCUGCCUGCUGCUCUGGUCUGAAAAGCACUGUACAUAUACAUUGUGUCCUGGUUUUCAGUUGUUUAAGGUGGGGGUGAACGUGGUCCGUGUUGCUCCAACAUGGCUUAAACUUGAAGUCAGUCCUGCUUAGACUUUUAGAGCUGAGCUGUUCUUCCUCACUAGGUUAGGAUCUCAGAGGACCAGGGAUCCAGUAGUUACUGGAUGCUGGGGGCAUCUUUUGAGCCCUGAUUAGGGCUAGUCCACCAGACUUGGCCAUGUGAGAAAGGAACCAAGUCUCUUGGCACAGGCCAGUGGGGGUCAGGGGUUUCUAACAUGUAUCUUAAGUGAUCCACCUUAAUAAUUUAAAAUGCACAGGAACAACCUCAUGUGCUUGCAGAACUGGGGCAAAGGUCACAGAAAACAAUCUGUUGUAAAAAGCUGUCCCCACUCCUUCAGGCCUGUAUACUGUAGGUACUGAGGAAAUGCGUCUCGGUCCUGUCCUCAGAUAACUGCUUCUUGAUCCAGCCUUCAGAGCUGAUCCAUUCUCUCUCCCGCCAUCCCUCAAGUUCCCCUUUCUUUCCAGCAGGUAGCUGGUCUGGUCCUGGGGCCCUCUGAGCAGAACCAGGCUUUACAGUUAAUAUCCCGCAGCCUCUGAUUGCAGCUUUCAGAGGUGUAACAUUUGAUAAGCUCCAUUUAGCUUGGCGGGGCUGCAUUGUUUAAAUUAUUCAAAGACAGAUUGCUCGCUCCACCCCCCCCUCCAGGGUUUCUGCUCUGCUGAGCCUGCCGGCAGCACGUUACCAGGAAAUAAGGCGGGGAGUCAGCAGGCAGUUUCUCACUGCCCUGAAAUCAGUUCCAGCCGUUGUUCUACACCCAUCACACCCCAUUAUUCCUUGCUAAUUGCAAGCCUGGUAUGCAAGUUAACUCUUUGAGAACAAUGCUGGCUUUGAUUGCUGGGGAGACACAGUGAGCCUCCCACCUCCUCCUGCCUCCCCUCCCCCUCUGUCCCCAGCUGACUGACUGUCUGGGAUUCAGCAAGUCAAGGGGUGGGAAGAAAUCUGAAAAUCUGAGGUAGAGCUGGUUCCCCAGGCAUUCCGAUUGGGCAGGUGGAUACAGCCAGUUGGGUCCCAGCCUAAGGCUGGAGCAGCCUCAUCUCUAACUGGUGUUGGACAACCCAGUCUUGCUAUUGUGUCCAGCCAUCCGCAUGGCACCUAGAGGGUGUGCAGGCUGGGCCCUGGCUCAGAACAAGCCAUCACCUCCUGGUCCAGGGAGCCCUCGCCACUGCCCUUGGACGUGGCCUCACUCCUUCUGCACCUGAGCUGUUUGCUCCCUACACACGGAAUGAUUGUCACGGUCAUCUGGCAGUGGUCACGAAGAACUAUUCUUCCAGGGAUCCUUUUCAUCAUCGACUUAGAACAAAUAAGAAUAAUUCUAAGAGUUGGUUGGCCAUCAAAGCCUAAAAUAUGUGCUCUCUGGUCUUUUACAGGAAAAAGGCUGCUGGCCCCUCCCCUAGAAUCUGAAUUAAGAGACGGAGGCAACUCGGUGUCUGGACCUUGAAGACAAUGUGUGAGCCUGUCUUGGCCUGGAUCCUAGACCAGAAGAAGACAUGGCUGGAACUGCACUGAAGGGGACCUGCAGAUGGGACAGUAGAGUCACCGUGUCACUUCCUUGAUUCUCAUCAUUGCACUGUGGUUCUGCAAGGGAGACAUAUGGGGAAUUGUACUAUUUUUGCAACUUUUUUGAAAGCCUGAAAUUGUUUUGAAAAAAACAGAUACAUUUGGGGGAGGAAAAAAAAAAAAACAUGGGGCAGGCGUAGUGGCUCAUGCCUGUAAUCCCAGCAACUCAGAAGGCUGAGGCAGGAGGAUGACAAAUUUGAGGCCAGCCUUGGCUACUUAGUGAGACCCUUUCUCAAAAUAAAAGGGGCUGUGGAUGUAGCUCAGUGGAAGAAUGCCCCUGGGGAGGGCCUGGGGAGGGUGGCUUUUAGGUGGGGUGGAAUUGGGAAAGGAGCACUUAGACAGAUGGUCACUUCCCCAGAGGGCCUGAGGGUGAGCUGGGGAUGCAUGCAGCAGUCCAAAGAAUGCAGGCUUUGGCAAGGACGUGGAGUGAACAAGGACGGGGUGGCUGUGCGGUAGAAGGUUAGUCUCCAGGGGCUGCCUACCAUAAAGCCUAAAGCCUCAGUGAACUCACUAACCUCAUGAAAUAAGUGCCAAUAGAUUUCCUGUGUAGGAAGCGAAGGGUCCAAAGUCAGGCUAACUGGCAGGAGGGCAAACAGUGGACCCACCUGGAUGCAGGAGCAGAUAAGGACCCUAAGGAAGUAAGGCUGGCCCUUUUCAGGGUGGCCCAGGCUGAGCCACAAGACCAGAGCCAAGUUCACCUAAAUUGCCACAGGCCAGAGGCCCCAAGAGUGAGUUGCCCUCUCAGGGGUGACCCCUGUCUACUCCCUUGCCCCCAGCCUGAUGACCAACAGGGUCUCUGAUGCUGGCCCCUCCAAGCCCAGCAGUGCCAUGGUCACACUGCCACUCCUGUGCUUGGGCUUUUACCAACCUCAGGGCUGCUAACCAGAGCUGGGAGGGCCACUGGCUGGGCAGUAAGCAGCAUGCUCCAUGAGUAGACUGGGCACAUUAGUAACUAAGAAGAGCAGAAAGCUCCUGCCGCAGCAGAAGUACCUUUAAGCAAGAGAAGUUGCGAGGAGGCCCGAGGAUCCUUCUCAGGAAAAUGGUGCAGUCAGAGAGGACAGCCAUGAGCACGCUCCAGAGGGCCUGACUGGCCAGGGGCCAUCCGUGUGGGAUGGCAGGAAGGCCUCUGCCCAGUUCCCAUGGUCACUCCCAGCCCAGGACUCAGUGCAGCAGGGACACCAGGCAGACCAGGCGGCCAGCGGGAACAGAGUCCCUUGCUGCUUGACCAAACCUGCCUGUGACUACCCAUCUGUCUAGAGAUUCCACAGGACCUUCUCUCCUCGUCUUCACCCAGGUCAAACUUGUUUUGCUGACUGGCUUCUAGCCUCCCCAGCCCUCCCCAUUUUCUCUCACACAGGCAUGACCAUGACGCACAUUAUCAGCACAUCUCAAACACGCAGAGGAAAUUCCUUACUUUAAUUCCAUCCGGGUCUCUGCUAUUUAGAGUGAUCUCCCCUGGAGUGACUCGCCCAGUUCUGCUCUACUCUAAGGUUCCUCUAAGAUAACCAAUCCCCUGCCCCACGGUCUCCCAGAAGGAGGGGACAGGAUAUGCAGCAAGGCCUUUUAAUUUUCCAUAAUUUUAAUAUGUUUCUUUUUAUUAAAAUUAAAUCUUUUUAUAGCUUUAUUUUAUUCAUUUAUUUUAUGUGGUGCUGAGGUUUGAACCCAGGGCCUCACAGAUGCUAGGCAAGUGCUCUACCACUGAACCACAACCCAGCCCAAUAUGUGUGUUUAAAAUCUAAAAUAUAGGGGCUGGGAUGUGGCUCAAGCGGUAGCGCGCUCACCUGGCAUGCGUGGGGCCCGGGUUCAAUCCUCAGCACCACAUGCAAACACAGAUGUUGUGUCCGCCAAAAACUGAAAAAUAAAUAUUAAAAAAUUCUCUCUCUCAAAAAAAAAAAUUAAAAUCUAAAAUGUCUAAUUCCUGGAAUAUAACCUUUACUUUGACUGUAAGGUGGUCAAACACCCACUGUAGAGGGAAAAAAACCAUCCUACAGUUGAUUUCUGAUUUAAAUUUCCUACCAGCUGAGGUGGUAAUCACUUCUGAACUAUUUAGUGGCCAUGUCUUUAAAGGUCGUAUUGGACAGUUGCUGGAGGUCAUAUGUAAGGAAAAGCAUCCUCCUCCUCCUCCUGCCCAAAACAUAGAUGCAUAAACCUCAGAAUCAGGAUUCAUGAGAAGCCAGAAAUCAUGGUGGGACACUAACAGGUUGAGUCAACGUCCAUCUCAGUAAGUUGCACGAGGCCUCAGUGUGCAGAUGUCAAAGACAUACAGUUUGCAGACUGGCUUUACUUACGUCCACAAAAUAAGUGUAUGCAGGGUGAGUCUGUUCAUGACUCGGGGAGCUGCUUCAGAAACAGCAUGACUGACAUGGAAAGGGGAAUGAUGGGAAGAGGAACUGAGAAAUGGGAGAAAGGAAGAUCAGAGAGGAGUCCGCCCUGGGUUCUGUGAGCUGGUCCACUUCCAGGACUGGCAUCUGGGUCCUGGCAGGACUAUUGACUCCUUAAUGAGAGAGCCCCUCAAGGAUCAAUUUCCAGACAAAACUGUCCCAGAUGCCCCCAUGUCACCCAGAUGGGUGGAAGCCAUCAACCCACAGGGAGAAUCUUGCUCUCUGAUGAGAGAAACGCUUGGAAAACUAUCCACCCCAAGGGUGUGAGAGACACCAGAGGGAGGCAGUGUGAAGUGUGGUGUGGGUCCUGCCCAGGAUUGGUUCCCAGAGAGGACACUGGCAUGGGGCUCAGCUGUCCCCUCGCUGAGUGCCCAGCGGCUCUCUAAGAGCAGCCAAGGACGUGGAGAGCCAGGGCAGCUCGGGAGCCUGGGAGCGGGUGGACCCUGCCUGGUGCCUUGAGUUAGGAAACCAGGUCAGAGAGCUUCCAAGCUACUAGGUGAAGAGCUGGCAUUAGAAGGCGUCUGCAGGCACCACGCGGGUGUCCUGACACCUGUCCCUCGGCGCCCAUCGAGAAGGCCUUUCUGGCUCCUGGCCUCAGCGGCUCUGGCAGCCCUCAUUUCCUCUGCUGGGUUUGGGGCUUAAAGCUGCCCAAGUGAGGAGCUCAGAUCUGCCUUUGCGUGAAGCAGCUCUUUAAAUGCAUUUUUCAGCACGACUCCCUGCAAGACAUAGACGUUCAACUGCACGUGUGCGCGCGCGCGCACACACACACACACACACACACACACACACACACACACGGUCCGGGCUUCACAAACAGCGCUCGCUCUGACGGCUCUCCAGGCACUCUGCCGUUCUCUCCCACUGUCUCCUCUUUCCCUUUCUCCAUCAUGGUUAAAAACAAAAACGCUGCUUGGGAUUGGAUGAGCACUGGCUGAAAGGAGCGUCACCACUCUGGGGGUCCAAGGGGCCCUCUGAGAAGGUGGCAGGUCCCUGCACAUGGUCAUCAUCCCACCUUUCUGAGGAGGCUGGAAUUGUGUCCCAAGGAGGUCCCCACGGUUCCCCUGGGUCAUACCACUGCACCAAAACGUCAUGCUCAGACACCCGCGCGGUGUCACAGUCAGGGUGACUCUCAUGGGCUUACACUGAAUGCCUCGCUAGGAAACCCCAAGAGCUACAUGGCCAAAGAGUGAGUGCUAUUCCUACUUCGUUAACUGCUAGGAAAAGUAAAGCUUGAACUAUGUAGGUGACUUGUCCAAGGCCAACUGCAGCUGGCAGGGUCAGAGCAAGGAGCCCAGGGUCUCAUGAUGCUCUAUGUACCGUGCCCCGCCCUUCCACAAGGCUGAUGGAAGCCCUUGCCGUCUCCACCUUUGGAAGUCUCAUCUGGUCCCCAAGCUCUGGACCAACAAGGUCCUGAAUACGGGAAAUUUCUUUUUUUAAAAAAUAUUUUUAUUUUUUAGUUGGAGUUGGACACAAUACUUUUAGUUUAUUUAUUUUUAUGUGGUGCUGAGGAUCGAACCCAGGGCCUCACACUUCCUAGGCGAGUGUUCUACCCCAGCCCCUACGAGAAGUUUCUAACAGUCAUCUUACAUCAAAUCAUCCAGCUGGAUGCCCCUGUGACAUGAGCUUCGACCAGAGUUGGCUUCCACGAAGUUCAUGAGCCAGUGUUCAAGAUUUAGAGAAAACAGUGGACUGCUCAAGACAUACUAGGAACAUCCACGGUGCCCGCCACUCUGCCGGGGGAUUCUCCUAGGCUGCUGUGGCCAGGACUGGUUGCAAAGCCCUCCAACACACUUGACCGAAGACAAGUUUAAUGUCUUGGAGUUUAAUGUUUUUAUUAGUUGUGUUUGUGGCUUCUUCAAAAUACUGUGUAGCUGCUGGCACCACCCCAGCCCCACUGCAAGAACCUCCUCCCCAGCCUCCACUCACCAGCAAGCUGCACCCCGCACCCAGGGAUUGCCCCCCACCCCGCCCUCAUCCAUCAAACAGGCCGCUGUCUGCAGACGUUCCGGGAUUUGUUGUAUUUGGGAUUAAGGGGGGGCGGGUAAAAUUAAUAAGGUUUCUAUAAAUAUAACUUCUCUGGCUCUUGUUAAAACUCUGGGUCACAGGAAAUCUCUGGUUUCAAACGGCUCUAUGCAGAGUGGCCCUGUUUACUUGAAACGUCUCGCCAAGAUCUAGCUUUGCCCCAUUAAUACUAAAUAAAUAAUUUCCACAGAAGCUAUUUUUUGGUCCUCUUUGCCAAAAAAUUUGAGAAAAGGGGCCAGCACAGAAGCCUCACAUGCGUGUUUCAUAUAAAAACCACAGGAUCAGUGGGGACCUUAGUUGUGUAAACUGUUUCAGGACAGAUGAGACUCAGCUGGUGACCCAAGUCAAGCAGAGCACCCAUGGGGCGCUGGUCCCAGCUCCCACCCGAGAGCAGAUCCAUGAGCUUCACACCCGUCCACUCUUCCUAUGUAAGCCACUCUCUCAGAGGGUCCAAGGAAUGUAGAUAGGCACCUGAGGAGUAAAUGGCUUGUGAUCUAGUAGGGUUGCUAAAUUGGCAUAUAAAAUACAAGAUGCCCAAAAGGAACUGAAUAGACACUUCACAGAAGAAGAAAUACAACUGAUCAACUGAUAUAUGAAAAAGUGUUCAACAUUUCUAGCAAUUAGAGAAAUGCAAAUCAAAACUACACUGAGAUUCCAUCUUCAAUUACAAUGUCAAUCAUCAGGAAUACAAGCAACAAUAAAUGUUGGUGAGGUUGUGGGGGAAUAGGUGCAUUCAUGCUUUGCUGGUAGGACUGCAAAUUGAUGCAACACUCUGGAAAGCAGUGUGGAGAGUCCUCAGGAAACUUGGAAUGGAACCACCAUUGGACUCAGUCAUCCCACUCCUAAGUUUAUUCCGCAAAGACUUAAAAUCAGCAUACUACACUGAUGCAGCCGUAUCAAUGUUUAUAGCAGCUCAAUUCACAAUAGCUCAACUAUGGAACCAACCUGUGUGCCCUUCAACAGAUGAAGGGAUAAAAAAUGUGGUAUAUAUACACAAUGGAAUAUUACUCAACUUAAAAAAGAAUGAAAUUGUGGUAUUUGCUGGUAAAUGGAUGAAACUGGAGAAUAUUA
Molecule: long non-coding RNA, 25206 nt
Filed under: Marmota monax (woodchuck)
Lineage: Eukaryota; Metazoa; Chordata; Mammalia; Rodentia; Sciuridae
Source: RNAcentral